AGAACGAACGCUGGCGGCAGGCCUAACACAUGCAAGUCGAACGCGAUCUUCGGAUCGAGUGGCGCACGGGUGAGUAACGCGUGGGAAUCUGCCCUAUGGUACGGAAUAACAUCGGGAAACUGGUGCUAAUACCGUAUAUCCCCUGAGGGGGAAAGAUUUAUCGCCAUGGGAGGAGCCCGCGUAGGAUUAGCUAGUUGGUGAGGUAACGGCUCACCAAGGCGACGAUCCUUAGCUGGUCUGAGAGGAUGAUCAGCCACACUGGGACUGAGAUACGGCCCAGACUCCUACGGGAGGCAGCAGUGGGGAAUAUUGGACAAUGGGCGCAAGCCUGAUCCAGCCAUGCCGCGUGAGUGAUGAAGGCCUUAGGGUUGUAAAGCUCUUUCGGCGGGAAGAUAAUGACGGUACCGCAGAAGAAGCCCGGCUAACUUCGUGCCAGCAGCCGC
This 443-nucleotide ribosomal RNA is filed under the name uncultured bacterium. RNAcentral describes it as "SSU rRNA". It matches the Rfam family "Bacterial small subunit ribosomal RNA", at positions 26 to 518 of the family's 1533-position model. The record is from RNAcentral.